UCAGCCCUAAACACAAAUAAUUUUAAAAACAAAAUUAUUCGCCAGAGUACUACCGGCAACAGCCUAAAACUCAAAGGACUUGGCGGUGCUUUAUACCCUUCUAGAGGAGCCUGUUCUAUAAUCGAUAAACCCCGAUAAACCUCACCAAUUCUUGCUAAUACAGUCUAUAUACCGCCAUCUUCAGCAAACCCUAAAAAGGAACAAAAGUAAGCGCAAUCAUAACAUAUAAAAACGUUAGGUCAAGGUGUAACCUAUGAAAUGGGAAGAAAUGGGCUACAUUUUCUACUUCAAGAAAACCCACAUACGAAAGUUAUUAUGAAACUAAUAACCAAAGGAGGAUUUAGUAGUAAACUAAGAAUAGA
RNAcentral lists this ribosomal RNA (362 nucleotides) under Philantomba monticola (Blue duiker). RNAcentral's name for it is "partial 12S small subunit ribosomal RNA". The stretch from base 45 to 362 matches the Rfam family "Bacterial small subunit ribosomal RNA", at positions 875 to 1353 of the family's 1533-position model. Lineage: Eukaryota; Metazoa; Chordata; Mammalia; Artiodactyla; Bovidae. The record is from RNAcentral.